This is a long non-coding RNA of Perca fluviatilis (European perch), 524 nucleotides long. RefSeq lists it as uncharacterized. Lineage: Eukaryota; Metazoa; Chordata; Actinopteri; Perciformes; Percidae. The record is from RefSeq and is a predicted model, not a curated record. The transcript has 4 exons.
UCAUCACCUCAUGUAUUUAGCCUCUGUGUUCCCUUUGUCUCUUGUUAGAUCGUCUUGUGUUGCUUCCCUGUGCCUUGUGUCUGUUCCUGCGUGUAUCAGUUUGCUCCUGCCGGUUUUGCCCGUCAGUUUGUUAUUUCGAGCAGGCAGUAUGGUGUGGUGAUCGGCAGAUCCAAGUGGGGGCAGGGAAACAGAUUUAUAUGCCAUAGUGACCGACUCCGGCAGUCAGCUGAUAGUAGUGUACUAUACGACCUCAUCAGUAACAGAUGCCCCGACUCUGCUGACCGGACGGUGAGGGUGGAGGGAAACGGACUGGAAACAUCAAACUCCUUCUCCUUCAACCUGUUCCAGUUCUCUGGGAUAGUCAGUGACGUCUACCUGCACUGCAGACUGGAGUGGUGUCCCUGCUCUCCGUCAACUGAUCAAUGGAGCAGACUUAGCAGAGGAGAUCGAUAGACAGACAGACAAACAGACGGACGGACAGAGAGACGGACGGACAGAGAGACGGACGGACAGAGAGACGGACG